RNAcentral lists this transfer RNA (83 nucleotides) under Canis lupus dingo (dingo). It matches the Rfam family "tRNA". Rfam says of the family: Transfer RNA (tRNA) molecules are approximately 80 nucleotides in length. Their secondary structure includes four short double-helical elements and three loops (D, anti-codon, and T loops). Lineage: Eukaryota; Metazoa; Chordata; Mammalia; Carnivora; Canidae. The record is from Rfam by way of RNAcentral.
GCCUGGGUGGCUCAGCGGUUGAGCAUCUGCCUUUGGCCUAGGGCCUGAUCCUGGGGUCCUGGGAUCGAGUCCCAGGUCAGGCU